This 858-nucleotide ribosomal RNA is filed under the name uncultured organism. Its description in RNAcentral is "bacterial SSU rRNA". It matches the Rfam family "Bacterial small subunit ribosomal RNA", at positions 1 to 909 of the family's 1533-position model. The record is from RNAcentral.
UAGAGUUUGAUCCUGGCUCAGGAUGAACGCUGGCGGUCUGCUUAACACAUGCAAGUCGAACGCAACCUUCGGGUUGAGUGGCGGACGGGUGAGUAACGCGUGAGAAUCUGCCUUGGGGUCGGGGACAACCACUGGAAACGGUGGCUAAUACCGGAUAAGCCUUUGGGUAAAAAAUUUAUUGCCCCAAGAGGAGCUCGCGUCUGAUUAGCUAGUUGGUGAGGUAAGAGCUCACCAAGGCAGCGAUCAGUAGCUGGUCUGAGAGGACGAUCAGCCACACUGGGACUGAGACACGGCCCAGACUCCUACGGGAGGCAGCAGUGGGGAAUUUUCCGCAAUGGGCGAAAGCCUGACGGAGCAAGACCGCGUGAGGGAGGAAGGCUCUUGGGUUGUAAACCUCUUUUCUCAGGGAAGAAGCUCUGACGGUACCUGAGGAAUCAGCCUCGGCUAACUCCGUGCCAGCAGCCGCGGUAAUACGGAGGAGGCAAGCGUUAUCCGGAAUUAUUGGGCGUAAAGCGUCCGCAGGUGGCGAUUCAAGUCUGCUGUCAAAGCACGGGGCUUAACUCCGUUAAGGCAGUGGAAACUGAAUAGCUAGAGUGCCGUAGGGGUAGAGGGAAUUCCCGGUGUAGCGGUGAAAUGCGUAGAGAUCGGGAAGAACAUCGGUGGCGAAAGCGCUCUACUGGACGGCAACUGACACUCAGGGACGAAAGCUAGGGGAGCGAAUGGGAUUAGAUACCCCAGUAGUCCUAGCUGUAAACGAUGGAUACUAGGUGUAGCUUGUAUCGACCCGAGCUGUGCCGAAGCUAACGCGUUAAGUAUCCCGCCUGGGGAGUACGCACGCAAGUGUGAAACUCAAAGGAA